This 429-nucleotide ribosomal RNA is filed under the name Gemmatimonadota bacterium. Its description in RNAcentral is "Gemmatimonadetes bacterium partial 16S ribosomal RNA". It matches the Rfam family "Bacterial small subunit ribosomal RNA", at positions 355 to 776 of the family's 1533-position model. Lineage: Bacteria; Pseudomonadati; Gemmatimonadota. The record is from RNAcentral.
UAGGGAAUCUUCGGCAAUGGACGAAAGUCUGACCGAGCAACGCCGCGUGAGUGAAGAAGGUUUUCGGAUCGUAAAACUCUGUUGUUAGAGAAGAACAAGGACGUUAGUAACUGAACGUCCCCUGACGGUAUCUAACCAGAAAGCCACGGCUAACUACGUGCCAGCAGCCGCGGUAAUACGUAGGUGGCAAGCGUUGUCCGGAUUUAUUGGGCGUAAAGCGAGCGCAGGCGGUUUCUUAAGUUUGAUGUGAAAGCCCCUGGCUCAACCGGGGAGGGUCAUUGGAAACUGGGAGACUUGAGUGCAGAAGAGGAGAGUGGAAUUCCAUGUGUAGCGGUGAAAUGCGUAGAUAUAUGGAGGAACACCAGUGGCGAAGGCGGCUCUCUGGUCUGUAACUGACGCUGAGGCUCGAAAGCGUGGGGAGCAAACAGG